RNAcentral lists this ribosomal RNA (748 nucleotides) under uncultured bacterium. RNAcentral's name for it is "bacterial SSU rRNA". It matches the Rfam family "Bacterial small subunit ribosomal RNA", at positions 33 to 773 of the family's 1533-position model. The record is from RNAcentral.
ACGCUGGCGGCAGGCCUAACACAUGCAAGUCGAGCGGCAGCACGGGUACUUGUACCUGGUGGCGAGCGGCGGACGGGUGAGUAAUGCCUAGGAAUCUGCCUGAUAGUGGGGGAUAACGCUCGGAAACGGACGCUAAUACCGCAUACGUCCUACGGGAGAAAGCAGGGGACCUUCGGGCCCUUGCGCUAUCAGAUGAGCCUAGGUCGGAUUAGCUAGUUGGUGGGGUAAUGGCUCACCAAGGCGACGAUCCGUAACUGGUCUGAGAGGAUGAUCAGUCACACUGGAACUGAGACACGGUCCAGACUCCUACGGGAGGCAGCAGUGGGGAAUAUUGGACAAUGGGCGAAAGCCUGAUCCAGCCAUGCCGCGUGUGUGAAGAAGGUCUUCGGAUUGUAAAGCACUUUAAGUUGGGAGGAAGGGCAGUUACCUAAUACGUAUCUGUUUUGACGUUACCGACAGAAUAAGCACCGGCUAACUCUGUGCCAGCAGCCGCGGUAAUACAGAGGGUGCAAGCGUUAAUCGGAAUUACUGGGCGUAAAGCGCGCGUAGGUGGUUUGUUAAGUUGAAUGUGAAAUCCCCGGGCUCAACCUGGGAACUGCAUGCAAAACUGGCAAGCUAGAGUAUGGUAGAGGGUGGUGGAAUUUCCUGUGUAGCGGUGAAAUGCGUAGAUAUAGGAAGGAACACCAGUGGCGAAGGCGACCACCUGGACUGAUACUGACACUGAGGUGCGAAAGCGUGGGGAGCAAAC